GAUGAAUUUGGUGCUUGCACCAGAUGAAACUAGAUACAAGCGAGCGGCGGACGGGUGAGUAACACGUGGGUAACCUGCCCAAGAGACUGGGAUAACACCUGGAAACAGAUGCUAAUACCGGAUAACAACACUAGACGCAUGUCUAGAGUUUAAAAGAUGGUUCUGCUAUCACUCUUGGAUGGACCUGCGGUGCAUUAGCUAGUUGGUAAGGUAACGGCUUACCAAGGCAAUGAUGCAUAGCCGAGUUGAGAGACUGAUCGGCCACAUUGGGACUGAGACACGGCCCAAACUCCUACGGGAGGCAGCAGUAGGGAAUCUUCCACAAUGGACGCAAGUCUGAUGGAGCAACGCCGCGUGAGUGAAGAAGGGUUUCGGCUCGUAAAGCUCUGUUGGUAGUGAAGAAAGAUAGAGGUAGUAACUGGCCUUUAUUUGACGGUAAUUACUUAGAAAGUCACGGCUAACUACGUGCCAGCAGCCGCGGUAAUACGUAGGUGGCAAGCGUUGUCCGGAUUUAUUGGGCGUAAAGCGAGUGCAGGCGGUUCAAUAAGUCUGAUGUGAAAGCCUUCGGCUCAACCGGAGAAUUGCAUCAGAAACUGUUGAACUUGAGUGCAGAAGAGGAGAGUGGACUCCAUGUGUAGCGGUGGAAUGCGUAGAUAUAUGGAAGAACACCAGUGGCGAAGG
This 681-nucleotide ribosomal RNA is filed under the name uncultured Bacilli bacterium. RNAcentral's name for it is "bacterial SSU rRNA". It matches the Rfam family "Bacterial small subunit ribosomal RNA", at positions 66 to 721 of the family's 1533-position model. Lineage: Bacteria; Bacillati; Bacillota; Bacilli. The record is from RNAcentral.